RNAcentral lists this unclassified non-coding RNA (351 nucleotides) under plant metagenome. RNAcentral describes it as "partial contains small subunit ribosomal RNA, internal transcribed spacer 1, and 5.8S ribosomal RNA". The record is from RNAcentral.
UUUCCGUAGGUGAACCUGCGGAAGGAUCAUUAUAAAUGAAAAACGAAUAACUUCAGGGAAGAAGGGAACCUGCACGGUGACCUCCCCUGUCGGGCCACCCAAUACCUUCAAAAUGCCGCCGUCCUAGCGGUGGCAGACGAAAAAAAACAAGAAAAACAAAAUAGAAACAGGCACGGUGGCCCGUUCACCUUCACACAACCCUCCGAGUACCGCUUCCAUGUUGCUUCCCCGCAAAUCCACCUCUUUGGUGAGCGCGGGGGAGGUCCGCAUCAAAUUCACCUGAAUGUCACAGCAGUCAGACAGCCAUUCAUGGAAACAAUAAAACUUUCAACAACGGAUCUCUUGGUUCCC